CCUACGGGGGGCAGCAGUGAGGAAUAUUGGUCAAUGGGCGCGAGCCUGAACCAGCCAAGUCGUGUGAAGGAUGACUGCCCUCCGGGUUGUAACCUUCUUUUAUAAAGAAAUAAAGUGAGGCACGUGUGCCUUUUUGUCUGUACUUUAUGAUUAAGGAUCGGCUAACUCCGUGCCAGCAGCCGCGGUAAUACGGAGGGUCCGAGCGUUAUCCGGAUUUAGUGGGUUUAAAGGGAGCGUAGAUGGGUUGUUAAGUCAGUUGUGAAAGUUUGCGGCUCAACCGUAAAAUUGCAAUUGAUACUGGCAGCCUUGAGUACAGUUGAGGUAGGCGGAAUUCGUGGUGUAGCGGUGAAAUGCGUAGAUAUCACGAAGAACUCCGAUUGCGAAGGCAGCCUACUAAACUGCCACUGACAUUGAUGCUCGAAAGUGUGGGGAUCAAACAGGAUUAGAUACCCGAGUAGUC
RNAcentral lists this ribosomal RNA (460 nucleotides) under uncultured bacterium. RNAcentral describes it as "partial 16S ribosomal RNA". It matches the Rfam family "Bacterial small subunit ribosomal RNA", at positions 338 to 795 of the family's 1533-position model. The record is from RNAcentral.